Episyrphus balteatus (marmalade hoverfly) is the source of this 820-nucleotide long non-coding RNA. RefSeq lists it as uncharacterized. The transcript has 2 exons. Lineage: Eukaryota; Metazoa; Arthropoda; Insecta; Diptera; Syrphidae. The record is from RefSeq and is a predicted model, not a curated record.
AACUCACGGAUGAGUGAUUGUGUUUUUGGCCUUUAACCUGAAAUUAUAUUCAGGGUAGAAAAAAAGAAAAAUUAAAUUAAAUUAAAUUUUAACAGUGAAAUUUCAAGAAAAAAUAAAAAGCAAAGAAAAAUAAUAACAAGGCACACAGAAUAUCCUUUUGCUGGCUCUGGCAAAAGUAGUACGAGUGUCUGUGGUCUUAUAAAAAGGAAGAGUGUCCUUUUUUUUUUUACUUUUUGGUGUCGUAAAGGUUGUUUAAAGUUCAUUCAAGCGGGAAAAUUGGUUAAAAAGAAACAAAAUUAUUUUCGUCGGUGAAUUUAAAGUGGAGAGAAUCCAUUCAGCCAGAGCGGAUAUGAAAAUGAAAAAAAAGGAUAUCCCAUCAUAGCCAAUUUCGAUGACCGCAACUGAAUGACCGUAACGUAGUUCAACCAUAUACACACACAGAAAGAAAUUUAUACGACAACAAGGCUGCUAUCACCCGCAAUAAGGCAAUAAGGACGACAUUUUCACUAAGGUACUAAAAAAGAGAGAAUGCGAAUAUAAAAACCAAAAGCAACAAAAAAAAAGUUAAAUUACAUCAAAAAUAAAAAAAUAAAAAAAAAACAGAAAACAGGAUUUUGUAAAAGAAGUGUAUCCUAAUGAUAUAUAGUAGGCUAGGGAUUAACAAGAGCUUACACAAGACCAACAGUAACGCAUUGCGACUACAACUACAACUACUACCAUCAUCAACUACAACAACAACAUCACUGCCAACCAUCAUCAUCAACACACUGGCAAAAAGAAGAAAAAAAAAUUCAUUUCUAUAAAAACAUAAAAAAAAUAA